GUGCUAGAAUUCGGAUCGACUUAAGGUCGCCGGAACCCGUAGCAAGCCUAACAUACAUCCUGUUAUACCUAAUGAAAUCUCAUACAUGAUCAUACAUUUUCAUAAAAACUUAAACUUUUCAUAUACCAAGCUUGACCUGUGCAUGCAUCAUAACUGUAAACAUAAAAACCCCAUACUAGAGCCCUCAUCAAAUGCUCUAGU
RNAcentral lists this long non-coding RNA (201 nucleotides) under Manihot esculenta (cassava). RNAcentral's name for it is "long non-coding RNA (MESC_LNC001565)". Lineage: Eukaryota; Viridiplantae; Streptophyta; Magnoliopsida; Malpighiales; Euphorbiaceae. The record is from RNAcentral.